UUGAAUGAGAAGAUUACGGAUGAUGUUCUUUUACAAAUAACUGGUAGAGGCCAAGGAAGCUUGCAAUGCUUGAGCCUGGUUGAUUGCCAAAGGAUUACUGAUGAAGGUCUUAAGCAUGUCGUUGAAAAUAAUCCAAAGCUAAUCAAGCCAUGCUUCCAAUAAUGUGUUAGAUGGGCUGAACAUGUUUGAUGGAACUGAUGCUCAUUACUUCCACACGGGGUCAAGGGGUCACCACUCGGUGUGGGAUUCUCGCCUUUUUAAUUAUGGAAGCUGGGAAGUAUGUACUUCUACCUAAACAUUUCUUAAUGAAUAGCUUGUUUAAAGAUUUUGGCUUCCUCCCUUCCAGUUGUAAAUAUUAUUUCUUAGUUGUUGCUUUAGGUAUUGAGGUAUCUUCUUUCAUAUGCAAGAUGGUGGCUGGAGGAGUAUAAGUUUGAUGGGUACAGAUUUGAUGGUGUGACUUCAAUGAUGUACAAGAUUUCCUUGAUUAAGUAAAUGUAUUAUUUAUUUGAGUAAGAAAAUGCAUUGUAUGUUUUAUUACCUUGCAUAUGUAUUAUUUAUUUUAGUUUUGAUUCUAAAUUUUUAUUUUUACUUAAUAGUUCUAACUUUUGGAUUUUAA
Molecule: long non-coding RNA, 616 nt
Organism: Gossypium raimondii (Peruvian cotton)
Lineage: Eukaryota; Viridiplantae; Streptophyta; Magnoliopsida; Malvales; Malvaceae
Exons: 2
Source: RefSeq, a predicted model, not a curated record